GGGCAAAGGCUGUGGCUCAGUCGUAGAACAUCUGCUUUGCAUGCAGAAGGUCCCAGGUUCAAUCCCUGGCACCUCCA
Non-coding RNA from Podarcis lilfordi (Lilford's wall lizard), 77 nucleotides. NCBI's taxonomy places the organism in Eukaryota, Metazoa, Chordata, Lepidosauria, Squamata, Lacertidae. The record is from the annotation of a GenBank genome assembly.